Molecule: ribosomal RNA, 434 nt
Filed under: uncultured archaeon
Lineage: Archaea
Description: bacterial SSU rRNA
Rfam family: Archaeal small subunit ribosomal RNA
Source: RNAcentral
GGACCUGACUGCUAUCGGAUUGACUCUAAGCCAUGCGAGUCUUUGUAGUAAUACAAGGCAGACGGCUCAGUAACACGUAGUCAAUCUAACCUAUGGACAGGGAUAACCUCGGGAAACUGAGAAUAAUACCUGAUAGAUCAUUAUACCUGGAAUGGUUUAUGGUCGAAAUGAUUUAUCGCCGUAGGAUGGGACUGCGGUCUAUCAGCUUGUUGGUGAGGUAAUGGCCCACCAAGGCUAUAACAGAUACGGGCUCUGAGAGGAGAAGCCCGGAGAUGGGUACUGAGACACGGACCCAGGCCCUAUGGGGCGCAGCAGGCGAGAAAACUUUGCAAUGUGCGAAAGCACGACAAGGUUAAUCCGAGUGUUUUCUGCUAAAGAAAUCUUUUGUCAGUCCUAAAAACACUGAUGAAUAAGGGGUGGGCAAGUUCUGGUGU